Chelonia mydas (Green sea turtle) is the source of this 972-nucleotide non-coding RNA. The record is from the annotation of a RefSeq genome assembly. NCBI's taxonomy places the organism in Eukaryota, Metazoa, Chordata, Testudines, Cheloniidae.
ACGGUGAGAGCUGAGUUCCGAAGGGCUAGAGGAAGACAUGCAGCGUCUGGCUACCCACCGACACGGCUUCUCCGCCGGGGUCUGGCGGCUCCUGCGGCCGAAGAUAAGGAAGACCGCGAGACGGCUCCCCGACUAUUUAGGUGCCCUUUCCCAGCUGCAGCUGGUGGCCUCCGGCCCUGGGGUGGGGAAGGUCUCCGAGCCCCUCACACUGACCUGCGCUGUCUCCGGGGUCUCCAUCACUUCUCGGGAUUACGUAUGGCACUGGCUCCGUCAGCCUCCUGGAGAAGGGCCGGAGUCCAUGGGACGGGUAUAUCUAUAUAGCGGGAGCACACACGCUCCGUCUCUCCAAGGCCAAAUCACCAUCUCUGCAGACACCGCCAAGAACCAGGUCUCCCUGACGCUCCGCUCCCUGACAGCUGCAGACACCGCCACCUAUUACUGCGCCAGGAGAGACAUGGUGACACAGAGACCGGGGGCCUGGGACACAAAGGGGGCCAGCCACACUCGUCCCCUCCCAGAGAGAAGGCACCUGACUUUGCCCUUGCGGUCCGCCCCCUUCCGCUGUCCCUUGAAGGAGACGCGUUCUCAGAGGCCACCAGGAAGCUGGAGAGAAGGAGAGAAAGAGGAAACACCUGCGCUGGUGAAUGGGCAGCAGAGACUUUGUUACAGGAGUCCGGCAGUUUCGGAAUCCCUAAUCUAGGCCUGCGAUUGCAACAGUCUCUCCUGUCUGCUGAGCAGCUGAACUGGGGAACUGAGGUUCUGGGGUUCUUUCUGACAAAUGACCGGCUAUUUCCUGGCUGCGCUAGCCCUGGCCACAUGGGAGUGUGUGUGUGUGAGAGAGAGAGACAGAGAGAGAGAGAGAGGAGAAUCUGAGACAGGUGCCCGGCCCUGAGGUGGGGCAGGUCUCCGAGCCCCUCCCGCUCACCUGCGCUGUCUCUAGGUUCUCCAUCACUGGUCAGUGUGACCGGGAAG